RNAcentral lists this ribosomal RNA (380 nucleotides) under Pireneitega tianchiensis. RNAcentral's name for it is "partial large subunit ribosomal RNA". Lineage: Eukaryota; Metazoa; Arthropoda; Arachnida; Araneae; Agelenidae. The record is from RNAcentral.
UCAAUGAAAUUUCAAUAGCCGCAAUACAAUUGUGCUAAGGUAGCAUAAUCAUUUGUCUUUUAAUUAAAGACUAGAACAAAAGAUUCAAUAUUUUAAUUACUUUCUCAUUAAUAUAUAUUUAAUUUAUCCUAAAUAUAAAAAGAUAUUUAUAAAACAAAAAGACGACAAGACCCUAUUGAACUUCACUAAAGUUUAACUGGGGCAGUUAAUUAAAUAAAAUUUUAAUUUAUAUUUCAACAAAUCACCUAAUACUAUUAAUCUCCAUCAAGUUACCAUAGGGAUAACAGCGUAAUAAUUUUCUAUAGAUCUUAUUCAAAAAAUAAUUUACGACCUCGAUGUUGAAUUAAUAUUCUAUUAAAUGCAAUAAUUAAUAAGAAAGU